GACGAACGCUGGCGGCGUGCUUAACACAUGCAAGUCGAGCGGUAAGGCCUUUCGGGGUACACGAGCGGCGAACGGGUGAGUAACACGUGGGUGAUCUGCCCUGCACUUCGGGAUAAGCCUGGGAAACUGGGUCUAAUACCGGAUAUGACCUCCUAUCGCAUGGUGGGUGGUGGAAAGAUUUAUCGGUGCAGGAUGGGCCCGCGGCCUAUCAGCUUGUUGGUGGGGUAAUGGCCUACCAAGGCGACGACGGGUAGCCGACCUGAGAGGGUGACCGGCCACACUGGGACUGAGACACGGCCCAGACUCCUACGGGAGGCAGCAGUGGGGAAUAUUGCACAAUGGGCGAAAGCCUGAUGCAGCGACGCCGGGUGAGGGAUGACGGCCUUCGGGUUGUAAACCUCUUUCAGCAGGGACGAAGCGCAAGUGACGGUACCUGCAGAAGAAGCACCGGCUAACUACGUG
This 462-nucleotide ribosomal RNA is filed under the name uncultured bacterium. Its description in RNAcentral is "partial 16S ribosomal RNA". It matches the Rfam family "Bacterial small subunit ribosomal RNA", at positions 28 to 507 of the family's 1533-position model. The record is from RNAcentral.